This 1093-nucleotide ribosomal RNA is filed under the name uncultured Rhizophagus. RNAcentral describes it as "eukaryotic LSU rRNA". The stretch from base 1 to 239 matches the Rfam family "Eukaryotic small subunit ribosomal RNA", at positions 1595 to 1831 of the family's 1831-position model. The record is from RNAcentral. Lineage: Eukaryota; Fungi; Glomeromycota; Glomeromycetes; Glomerales; Glomeraceae.
GCUCUUCAACGAGGAAUCCCUAGUAAGCACAAGUCAUCAGCUUGUGCUGAUUACGUCCCUGCCCUUUGUACACACCGCCCGUCGCUACUACCGAUUGAAUGGCUUAGUGAGGCCUUCGGAUUGAGAUUCGGAGUUUGGCAACAGACCCUGGGUUUUAAAAAGUUGGUCAAACUUGGUCAUUUAGAGGAAGUAAAAGUCGUAACAAGGUUUCCGUAGGUGAACCUGCGGAAGGAUCAUUACCAAUUUUAGCGAACCUAACUUUAGGGUUAUGGUCUCGCGAAAAAAACUGUAUUUAAAACCCCACUCUUUAUAUAAAAUGAAUCUAUUUAUAUAAUAAUAAAUAAAGAUCACUUUCAACAACGGAUCUCUUGGCUCUCGCAUCGAUGAAGAACGUAGCGAAGUGCGAUAAGUAAUGUGAAUUGCAGAAUUCCGUGGAUCAUCGAAUCUUUGAACGCAAAUUGCACUCUCUUCGGAGAGUAUGCCUGUUUGAGGGUCAGUAUAAUUUAAAUCGGUGUGUUGCUUUUUGUGACGCUCCGGAGUUUGAGUUAUCUUAACCUUUUUAAGAGACUUAAAAUUGACAUCUUUUUGCGCAUUUUUAGACGUACAUAAAAUUUUUUUCUAUUCGCCUAUUUUAAUGCCAAAAUCUAUUAGAUGCGACCAAUAUUUGUAUGGUUACGUAUCUAUAAUUAUUUUCAUGAUUUGACCUCAAAUCAGUAGGAGUACCCGCUGAACUUAAGCAUAUCAAUAAGCGGAGGAAAAGAAAAUAACAAUGAUUCCUUUAGUAACUGCGAGUGAAGGGGGAAAAGCUCAAAUUUUAAAAUCUGUUAAGGUUCCUUAACCCGAGUUGUAAUUUCGAAGAAGCGUUUUUCUGUGCAGUUGGUCAGACUAAGUCCUAUGAAUGAGGCAUCAUGAGGGUGAUAUUCCCGUUCGGGCUGAUCAUGCGCUUACGAUACGGCUUCAAGAGUCAGUGUUUGGGAUGCAGCUUAAUUGGAGGUAAAUUUCUCUAAGGCUAUAAGCAGAAGAACGAUAGCGACAGUACCGUGAGGUAAGAUGAAGACCUUCGAAAGAAAGUCAAUAGUACGUGUAACUGUUG